CAUGUGGUUUAAUUCGAAGCAACGCGUAAGAACCUUACCAGGUCUUGACAUCCCUGACAACCGAGAGAUCGGGCGUUCCCCUUCGGGGGACAGGGUGACAGGUGGUGCAUGGUUGUCGUCAGCUCGUGCCGUGAGAUGUUGGGUUAAGUCCCGCAACGAGCGCAACCCUCGACCUUAGUUGCCAGCAUUCAGUUGGGCACUCUAAGGUGACUGCCGGCUAAAGUCGGAGGAAGGUGGGGAUGACGUCAAAUCAUCAUGCCCCUUAUGACCUGGGCUACACACGUGCUACAAUGGGCGGUACAAAGGGUCGCGAACCCGCGAGGGGGAGCCAAUCCCAAAAAGCCAUCCUCAGUUCGGAUUGGAGUCUGCAACUCGACUCCAUGAAGUUGGAAUCGCUAGUAAUCGCGGAUCAGCAUGCCGCGGUCGAAUACGUUCCCGGGCCUU
This 444-nucleotide ribosomal RNA is filed under the name uncultured Anoxybacillus sp. Its description in RNAcentral is "bacterial SSU rRNA". It matches the Rfam family "Bacterial small subunit ribosomal RNA", at positions 938 to 1382 of the family's 1533-position model. The record is from RNAcentral. Lineage: Bacteria; Bacillati; Bacillota; Bacilli; Caryophanales; Anoxybacillaceae.